This is a long non-coding RNA of Etheostoma cragini (Arkansas darter), 159 nucleotides long. RefSeq lists it as uncharacterized. Lineage: Eukaryota; Metazoa; Chordata; Actinopteri; Perciformes; Percidae. The record is from RefSeq and is a predicted model, not a curated record. The transcript has 3 exons.
AUUUCAGUUCUAAUGUCAGUCUAUUUCGGAGCAUCAGAGAGAAGUGCAGGCAUUUCAGUGGCACCAAAAUGAGGCAUCAAAUUCCGCACUGCUAUUUGGUCUGGUAGAUACUGGCUGGUUGGGCACCGGUGCCAUAUUAGUACCGGGUUUCUGUAACCA